This 863-nucleotide ribosomal RNA is filed under the name uncultured bacterium. RNAcentral describes it as "bacterial SSU rRNA". It matches the Rfam family "Bacterial small subunit ribosomal RNA", at positions 630 to 1504 of the family's 1533-position model. The record is from RNAcentral.
AAACUUUUCAGCUAGAGUAUGAUAGAGGAAAGCAGAAUUUCUAGUGUAGAGGUGAAAUUCGUAGAUAUUAGAAAGAAUACCAAUUGCGAAGGCAGCUUUCUGGAUCAUUACUGACACUGAGGAACGAAAGCAUGGGUAGCGAAGAGGAUUAGAUACCCUCGUAGUCCAUGCCGUAAACGAUGUGUGUUAGACGUUGGAAAUUUAUUUUCAGUGUCGCAGCGAAAGCGGUAAACACACCGCCUGGGGAGUACGACCGCAAGGUUAAAACUCAAAUGAAUUGACGGGGACCCGCACAAGUAGUGGAGCAUGUGGUUUAAUUCGAAGAUACGCGCAGAACCUUACCAACACUUGACAUGUUCGUCGCGACUUUAAGAGAUUAAAGUUUUCGGUUCGGCCGGACGAAACACAGGUGCUGCAUGGCUGUCGUCAGCUCGUGUCGUGAGAUGUUGGGUUAAGUCCCGCAACGAGCGCAACCCUCACUUUUAGUUGCCAUCAUUAAGUUGGGCACUCUGAAAGAACUGCCAGUGAUAAGCUGGAGGAAGGUGGGGAUGACGUCAAGUCCUCAUGGCCCUUACGUGUUGGGCUACACACGUGCUACAAUGGUAUCUACAACAGGAAGCAAGACGGCGACGUUAAGCAAAUCCUUAAAAGAUACCUCAGUUCGGAUUGCACUCUGCAACUCGAGUGCAUGAAGCUGGAAUUACUAGUAAUCGUGGAUCAGCGUGCCACGGUGAAUGCGUUCCCGGGUCUUGUACACACCGCCCGUCACACCAUGGGAGUUGGUUCUACCUUAAGGCAAGGUUUCAAACCCUUGACCACGGUAUAGUCAGCGACUGGGGUGAAGUCGUAACAAGGUAACCGUA